UAGGGGGCGAGCGUUAUCCGGAUUUACUGGGUGUAAAGGGAGCGUAGACGGCCGUGCAAGUCAGGAGUGAAAACCCGCGGCUCAACUGCGGGACUGCUCUUGAGACUGUAUGGCUGGAGUGCAGGAGAGGUGAGUGGAAUUCCUAGUGUAGCGGUGAAAUGCGUAGAUAUUAGGAGGAACACCAGUGGCGAAGGCGGCUCACUGGACUGUGACUGACGUUGAGGCUCGAAAGCGUGGGGAGCAAA
Molecule: ribosomal RNA, 245 nt
Filed under: uncultured bacterium
Lineage: Bacteria
Description: partial 16S ribosomal RNA
Rfam family: Bacterial small subunit ribosomal RNA
Source: RNAcentral